GGUUGCUGCAGCGGGGAGUUUCAGUCUUUUCCCUUUGGUUCUCCAUUCGUUUCUCCGCUGGGAAGGAUGCAUCUUUGAGAGCACGGCUUUUGCUGGUCACAUCAGCACCCCACGUUCUCAUCUCAGACUAGAGCAAGACUUUAGAAGCACUGCUGCCAUAUGUAAGGGAGAGAGAAAAGCUAACUUUUGUUAUUCUUUUUAAUCUAUUCAUCAGGGAGCCAGGGUCAAGUCCUGGGCAAAGGCUCUAACACAUUUGUGUUGGCUCAGCUGUGCUUCACUGAGGACUUUUAAAUAAUUUUGGGGUGUCAGUACUCACUGGGGACUUGGAGGAGCUGCUUCUCUCCCUGCUGCAGGCUGUCUGUGAUCUUAGCAAGUGUCUUCGCCUUGACUCAGCACCCCUCCUGCGAAUGGAGGCUAAUGAACCUCCUUUUCCCUCCCUGCAGCCUGGCCAUCGGCUGAGCAGGUACUGCCUUGUGCUCUGCAUAUGUUCAGCAAAAAGAGCAGGCGAGCCCUGAUCUCCACCGGGACCUCUGCGCUCCGCCGUAGUAUGAAUAACAAUUUUCCUCUCUACUGCCUGUUACUCUAAAUUUUUAACAGCCUGCGUCUGGGAAGCUCGAGCACGAAGGCUGAGCCACUCCAGAGACCCAGUGCCAGUGUAGUCUGCAGCAGGGAGCCCCUGUCCCUCCCCUCGCCCAUCCACCCGGCAGGCAGAGCCAGGGUUGGUUUCACGCUGUCCCUGGUCCCCUCGAGCCUGCAGGUCCCUGGGCACCUUGCAAACUUCGUGGCUGAGCCGGUGGCCUCACGGGACACUAAGUGAGCUCCACGCGCUGUCUGGGAAGCUGCCAAGGAGCAGGAUCAGCAGAAACUCCAGACUCGUGUAGCCAUAUUGACAUCUGCUAGUGGGCACAACGGCGGCAUGAGCCAAGGUGGCACCUGCCGACACGGAGGAUGGAAGAGACCAGCCGAAGGGACCUAACGCCGCUAUGACGUCCUGAGAAGGAGGAGGGCAGGGCGAAUGGAUGGCUUUGCCCAGACAAGCUUCCAAAAGUUUGCAGGUAUGAAGAGAGUUUUACUGGCUGAUAUUUCAGAAAAGAAGAAAAUCUGCAAAACGAUCGCAGCAGGGUCUAACAUUUUGCCAAUAGCAAAAUAUCUUUGGAUUGUGACUUCUUGAAAGCAAGUUUCCAGGACCUGCACGGAGUCAUGACAAGCACUUCUACCAUUCCUUACGGAUAGUGCAGAUAUGGGCUGGCCUAAUUUCAGUCCCUCUCAGGAAACAAAUGAUCCACACCAACUGUUACGAACAUCGUGAUCACUUGGCUGCUUUGUUCGCAUUUAGCUCUUCAGAAGAACUGAUUACUCACAACUCCUGUGGGGCUGAACAGAAGGCAAUGAAUACUCAGCAUCUUUUAGAAUCAAGCUUCAAGAGACAUUCUUUCAUAUACUGCAUUUAAGACAUCAGAAGCAAUCAAACAUCCUUACGAUCUCAGCACGCUGGGCUCUUGCAGUUUCAUACCAGUGACCUCUCUGAAAGAAAUCUCCAUUUCUGCUAAAACCUGCUGCCCUUCUGAAAUCUGUUUCCGCAGAGCAUUAUAAUCCUCAAUCAAGCCAAGAACGUGGCGUCCAUUUUUGUCUGCCCACAUACGAUGUCCAGGCACGAGACGAGGGGUACACGCAGUACUAGAAGACGAGGUGCUACUGCAGUGUGAAGUGCUGUCUAAAUCGUCUUUAGAUGCUAAGCGUGUGCCUAGGACAGAAAAAAAGGAAGUUUAACUUUUUCUAACCUUACGUGAAGAACAGAUCAACACUAGAGUUCUCUCAAACAGAAAGUCUGUGAUAAAGAUGACAUGCAUGUUUAAGAGGCUUUUGGAUGUACUUGUUUUUGCUAGUGACAUGCACUGUCCCCCAACAUUUCUGUGAGCAGCAGGGCAUCUGCAAAGAUUUUCUAUACAUCAAAAUGGGAGACUUCUAGAAGAAUAUCAGUAGAAGUGAACUUAAAAAAUUAAAAAAAUAUAUCUUCCAA
Long non-coding RNA from Dromaius novaehollandiae (emu), 2020 nucleotides. RefSeq lists it as uncharacterized. The record is from RefSeq and is a predicted model, not a curated record. NCBI's taxonomy places the organism in Eukaryota, Metazoa, Chordata, Aves, Casuariiformes, Dromaiidae. The transcript is spliced from 5 exons.